Molecule: long non-coding RNA, 1448 nt
Filed under: Felis catus (domestic cat)
Lineage: Eukaryota; Metazoa; Chordata; Mammalia; Carnivora; Felidae
Description: lncRNA (ENSFCAG00000051382.1)
Source: RNAcentral
AUCUACAGGAUGCUAGAUUGAGCUUUAAGUAUCGAAAACUAAGAAAAUGGAUCCUGAGAAACUUAACAGAAACCCAUGGGGGAGGGGAAGGAAAAAAAAAAAAAAGAGAUUAGAGUGGGAGAGAGCCAAAGCAUAAGAGACUGUUAAAAACUGAGAACAAACUGAGGGUUGAUGGGGGGUGGGAGGGUGGGGAGGGUGGGUGAUGGGUAUUGAGGAGGGCACCUGUUGGGAUGAGCACUGGGUGUUGUAUGGAAACCAAUUUGACAAUAAAUUUCAUAUAUUAAAAAAAAAAAAAAGAAAACUAAGAAAAUAAAUGAACAUUUGAAACACAUUCAAAUUUGACCAGGUAAGAGUUAAUUAUGUAAUCUAUAGACCUUCUAGUCUCCCUCCUGAUGAUACCUGGAACUUAGGCCAUUGUUCCUUAGGUUCCAUGAUGUCCCAACAUGCUGGGUUUGGCAAGAGAGAGGAUACGAAAGUUCACAUUCAGGAAAAACCAGAUGGCUUAGGGUCUAGCAAGCCACAGCUUCAAAGGCAGAGAACGAGGACGCUUCCAAAAGAAAGUCUUGGUGUUCAUUUCAAUGGAAGCCGAGAAUCAGAGGAGAGGCUUCUUUUUUGGGGUCAGAGUUUAAGUGGGAACUCAGCCCAAUCUGGGACCAGACUCAAGGGCCCAGCAGAAACCCUGCUUUGGCAUGCAGGGAGAACAGCUCGGCCUCCGUGGGAGUGAACGAAGAAGGCGGGGCUUUGCUGGAGUUGGGCGGAAAUCAGGAUGUCGGUGGAUGAAAACAGACCUGACUUGUGAGGCUGGACAGCGCUCUCCGCAUCCCGGUUUCUGAGUCACCUGAACCGAACUAGGCUCUGUUUUAUUACCUAGAACCGCCCACCCAUGGACAGAUUGCACUCCUGUCAACCACCAUCUGGAGGAAAGUUGUUCUCACCACCAGGCUCACAAACAUGGGCAUGUGUGUUGCUAGCAUGGCCGUGACCUUCCAGGAGAAAAGUACAGGCAGGCUGAUAGACUGUGGGCCAGAGGCAGAAGGAAGGACUUCAAGGUCUUCAGGAGGUUAAAGCAAGGACACAGAGGUCUGUGCUAUUGCACCAGGCUCCCGGAUUUUCUGGCCACAAGCAGAAUUGCUCAGUAAGUUGGCAUUCCUUACAGCCACUGCUGUUAGUGUCUCGAGAACAUUCAUAUUUUGACAUAUAAGUUUGUCUCUGCAAUAAUAUCACUGUCUUUUCAGGGGCGCCUGGGUGGCUGAGUCUCUCAAGAGUCCACCUCUUGGUUUCGGCUCGGGUCUUGAUCUCAUGGUUCAUGAGUUGGGGCCCCAACUCAUGUGUACGGCCGGCUUGGGAUCGUCUCUUUCCCUCCCUUUCUGCCCCUCCCCUGCUUGCUCUGUCUCUCUCUCUCUCUCUCUCAAAAUAAAUAAACCGACUUAAAAAAAAUUAAAAGAAGA